RNAcentral lists this ribosomal RNA (486 nucleotides) under uncultured bacterium. Its description in RNAcentral is "partial 16S ribosomal RNA". It matches the Rfam family "Bacterial small subunit ribosomal RNA", at positions 30 to 507 of the family's 1533-position model. The record is from RNAcentral.
AUUGAACGCUGGCGGCAUGCCUUACACAUGCAAGUCGAACGGCAGCACGGGUGCUUGCACCUGGUGGCGAGUGGCGAACGGGUGAGUAAUACAUCGGAACAUGUCCUGUAGUGGGGGAUAGCCCGGCGAAAGCCGGAUUACUACCGCAUACGAUCCACGGAUGAAAGCGGGGGACCUUCGGGCCUCGCGCUGUUGGGUUGGCCGAUGGCUGAUUAGCUAGUUGGUGGGGUAAAGGCCUACCAAGGCGACGAUCAGUAGCUGGUCCGAGAGGACGACCAGCCACACUGGGACUGAGACACGGCCCAGACUCCUACGGGAGGCAGCAGUGGGGAAUUUUGGACAAUGGGCGAAAGCCUGAUCCAGCAAUGCCGCGUGUGUGAAGAAGGCCUUCGGGUUGUAAAGCACUUUUGUCCGGAAAGAAAUCCUUGGCUCUAAUACAGUCGGGGGAUGACGGUACCGGAAGAAUAAGCACCGGCUAACUACGUG